This 273-nucleotide long non-coding RNA is filed under the name Cyanistes caeruleus (blue tit). RNAcentral's name for it is "lncRNA (ENSCCEG00000014871.1)". Lineage: Eukaryota; Metazoa; Chordata; Aves; Passeriformes; Paridae. The record is from RNAcentral.
AUGAAGAAUAUGGGAUUUUUUCAAGGGUUCCUAAAGCUAAAGGAGCCCAGUUUCUCAAGCUUUGACAUAAAGUCUUUCAGAGCCCUGGAUCCCUGUCAAUGUCAUGCUGAAGCUCAAGUCACUGAAGUGAUCCAUCGUGCUGCUGCAGGAGAGUGGUGCAGAGAUGGGACAGACAAGGAGAUGCAGGAGGCACAGGGGAGGAGAGGGACAGACCCUAGGAAAUGGGCAGCACCUGCAGCAAGUACCAGGGGGACACAGGGGAAGCAGAGAUAA